This 405-nucleotide ribosomal RNA is filed under the name uncultured bacterium. Its description in RNAcentral is "bacterial SSU rRNA". It matches the Rfam family "Bacterial small subunit ribosomal RNA", at positions 355 to 771 of the family's 1533-position model. The record is from RNAcentral.
CAGGGAAUAUUGCACAAUGGGCGAAAGCCUGAUGCAGCGACGCCGCAUGGGGGAUGAAUGCCUUCGGGUUGUAAACCCCUUUCAGGAGGGACGAGGCGAAAGUGACGGUACCUCCAGAAGAAGCCCCGGCCAACUACGUGCCAGCAGCCGCGGUAAUACGUAGGGGGCGAACGUUGUCCGGAUUUAUUGGGCGUAAAGAGCUCGUAGGCGGCUCAGCAAGUCGGCGGUGAAAGUCCGGGGCUCAACCCCGGGAUGCCCGUCGAAACUGCUGUGGCUAGGGUCCGGUAGAGGAGAGUGGAAUUCCCGGUGUAGCGGUGAAAUGCGCAGAUAUCGGGAGGAACACCAGUAGCGAAGGCGGCUCUCUGGGCCGGUACCGACGCUGAGGAGCGAAAGCUAGGGGAGCAA